RNAcentral lists this non-coding RNA (27 nucleotides) under Homo sapiens (human). Lineage: Eukaryota; Metazoa; Chordata; Mammalia; Primates; Hominidae. The record is from RNAcentral.
CGAGGUUUAGAAUAGGUGGUCUCUUGC